UUUGAAGGAUCAACAAGACGAACGGAUUAGAUGGAAAUGCAAUAUCAAAGGGAAAUUGAGAAGGCUCAAAGAAAGAAAAAAAGAACACCACGCGACAGGGUUAGGAAGUAGAUUUCCUGGUUUUCCCAGCACUAAAGGAGCAGAACUCCGCCAGAAUUGGCUCGAUGGAGCCAAAGGAGCCGUGGAUGGCCGAGGUACCGAUGGGGAGGUCACAGAAUGAGGGGAGGAAGAGGAAUUGCAUCCGCUCUGAGGCCUGAUGAAGAGGACAGAGGUGCAAGAGAGGGGAAUACAUGGAGGAGCUGCUGCUGAUGGAGAUGGCUGCCAGAGGACUGGUUUAAAUGUCCAGCAAGCUCUUUAUCUCUCUUCUGGUCAGGAUGGACGUACUGAUGGUACUUCAGCUUUUUCACCUACGACAUAAUAAAUUGUAACAGACCCAGCAAAACUGUUCCUGCUGCAUUUAAAUAGACUAUAGACAUCUAUAGAUUUCAUGAUUUCACAAUAUUAACAUGGAAUAGUUAGUAUUCCAGGUUCAUUAUUGUAGGAACACAUGGAAAAAAUGCCAGUAAAGAAGAAAUAAACCUUUGGCUUCUUGUUUUUGGCUUUCAGCUGAAAAAGAGACCACGAGCUCACAGCAGCCCCUGAUUAUUUUGUGGUUUAUCACACAUUUAUUGUGCCUACUUGUGUCUGUGAAGCACCUGCCAUGUGAAUAGACUGUGCUUCCGUCCCAUUAGUCAAUUUUAAAAAGGGGCGGGACCAAAGAGUGGAGGCGCCUGAAGAUCGCAUUAGCUGCCCGUGUUGUGCUAUUCACUAUAAUUCCUUAAAUAUUAAUCAUACGCUCAUGAAAAUCAGUGUUCUGAUAUCCUAACCCCCCCUCCCUGACUUUCUGUGUCCUACCAUUGCUGGAGUUGUGCCACUGCGUCCAGCCAGGACCUGUGGCAGAGAAGGCAGAGGCAGGAGAGCCGGAGGAGACUCUGCGUUCCCUGAGGGUCCAGGAGACAGGCUGCAGCUGCUAUCGUCAUCACAUGACUCAUCCGAAACCUUGGGAAGCUGCAUCUCUGUGGUGUGUGCGGGGACGGGGGGGGGUCAAGGCAGCGGUGGGAGGGAAAGGAAAGGGAUUGGCAGAAGACAAACAUGAGCGCUUUGGUCCAAUAAAGGGCAUCUACCAGCAUGUGUGAACCGACAGCCAAGCACGCGUCGCGCCUUCAUUUGGGAGAUUCUCUGCGCUCCAAACGUCGGUGAUCUGACACACACUCCUGAAGGCAGCCAAAGUUGAAUUCUCCAACGCCUUCUUCAGAUUCAUCAAAUUUAACAUUCAACAUGUAAAAUGUGACGGCUGAGGAACCAAAGCCCCCGUCCUCGCCGCCUGCUCAAAAAUCCUCUUUGAGGCAAAAGCAGCCUUUAUGUUUCCUCUCUAGGCUGAGUGGGAUGUUGGAGCAGCGUCCAGGCGAUAGCUUUCAUUCCUCUAGGUUCACUUCCAGUGCAGCCAGUUAAGUCUAAAUAAAGAAGGUGUGCCUGGGGGAGUUUGGGCUGCAAAGCUGCUAAAAUGCACCUUACACCAACGACCAAAAUCAAUUAAAGGAGAAGAUUUUAAUCAUGGAUUGGAGCCCCCCCCCCCACCCCCCACCCCACAGCCUACUGAAUAUAAAUACAACCUCUGCUCCUCAAACUUUGC
This 1672-nucleotide long non-coding RNA is filed under the name Takifugu rubripes (torafugu). RNAcentral describes it as "lncRNA (ENSTRUG00000032443.1)". The record is from RNAcentral. Lineage: Eukaryota; Metazoa; Chordata; Actinopteri; Tetraodontiformes; Tetraodontidae.